GUGACUGCGUACCUUUUGUAUAAUGGGUCAGCGACUUAUAUUCUGUAGCAAGGUUAACCGUAUAGGGGAGCCGGAGGGAAACCGAGUCUUAACCGGGCGUUAAGUUGCAGGGUAUAGACCCGAAACCCGGUGAUCUAGCCAUGGGCAGGUUGAAGGUUGGGUAACACUAACUGGAGGACCGAACCGACUAAUGUUGAAAAAUUAGCGGAUGACCUGUGGCUGGGGGUGAAAGGCCAAUCAAACCGGGAGAUAGCUGGUUCUCCCCGAAAGCUAUUUAGGUAGCGCCUCGUGAAUUCAUCUCCGGGGGUAGAGCACUGUUUCGGCUAGGGGGCCAUCCCGGCUUACCAACCCGAUGCAAACUGCGAAUACCGGAGAAUGUUAUCACGGGAGACACACGGCGGGUGCUAACGUCCGUCGUGAAGAGGGAAACAACCCAGACCGCCAGCUAAGGUCCCAAAGUCAUGGUUAAGUGGGAAACGAUGUGGGAAGGCCCAGACAGCCAGGAUGUUGGCUUAGAAGCAGCCAUCAUUUAAAGAAAGCGUAAUAGCUCACUGGUCGAGUCGGCCUGCGCGGAAGAUGUAACGGGGCUAAACCAUGCACCGAAGCUGCGGCAGCGRACGGAGAAGGCUAUGUUGGCCGGGCGACGGUUGUCCCGGUUUAAGCGUGUAGGUGUGUGUUCCAGGUAAAUCCGGUUCACUUUAACACUGAGGCGUGACGACGAGGCACUACGGUGCUGAAGCAACAAAUGCCCUGCUUCCAGGAAAAGCCUCUAAGCAUCAGGUAACAUCAAAUCGUACCCCAAACCGACACAGGUGGUCAGGUAGAGAAUACCAAGGCGCUUGAGAGAACUCGGGUGAAGGAACUAGGCAAAAUGGUGCCGUAACUUCGGGAGAAGGCACGCUGACAYGUAGGUGAAGUGAUUUACUCAUGGAGCUGAAGUCAGUCGAAGAUACCAGCUGGCUGCAACUGUUUAUUAAAAACACAGCACUGUGCAAACACGAAAGUGGACGUAUACGGUGUGACGCCUGCCCGGUGCCGGAAGGUUAAUUGAUGGGGUCAGCGCAAGCGAAGCUCCUGAUCGAAGCCCCGGUAAACGGCGGCCGUAACUAUAACGGUCCUAAGGUAGCGAAAUUCCUUGUCGGGUAAGUUCCGACCUGCACGAAUGGCGUAAUGAUGGCCAGGCUGUCUCCACCCGAGACUCAGUGAAAUUGAACUCGCUGUGAAGAUGCAGUGUACCCGCGGCAAGACGGAAAGACCCCGUGAACCUUUACUAUAGCUUGACACUGAACAUUGAGCCUUGAUGUGUAGGAUAGGUGGGAGGCUUUGAAGUGUGGACGCCAGUCUGCAUGGAGCCGRCCUUGAAAUACCACCCUUUAAUGUUUGAUGUUCUAACGUGGACCCGUGAUCCGGGUUGCGGACAGUGUCUGGUGGGUAGUUUGACUGGGGCGGUCUCCUCCUAAAGAGUAACGGAGGAGCACGAAGGUUGGCUAAUCCUGGUCGGACAUCAGGAGGUUAGUGCAAUGGCAUAAGCCAGCUUGACUGCGAGCGUGACGGCGCGAGCAGGUGCGAAAGCAGGUCAUAGUGAUCCGGUGGUUCUGAAUGGAAGGGCCAUCGCUCAACGGAUAAAAGGUACUCCGGGGAUAACAGGCUGAUACCGCCCAAGAGUUCAUAUCGACGGCGGUGUUUGGCACCUCGAUGUCGGCUCAUCACAUCCUGGGGCUGAAGUAGGUCCCAAGGGUAUGGCUGUUCGCCAUUUAAAGUGGUACGCGAGCUGGGUUUAGAACGUCGUGAGACAGUUCGGUCCCUAUCUGCCGUGGGCGCUGGAGAACUGAGGGGGGCUGCUCCUAGUACGAGAGGACCGGAGUGGACGCAUCACUGGUGUUCGGGUUGUCAUGCCAAUGGCACUGCCCGGUAGCUAAAUGCGGAAGAGAUAAGUGCUGAAAGCAUCUAAGCACGAAACUUGCCCCGAGAUGAGUUCUCCCUGAGACUUUA
RNAcentral lists this ribosomal RNA (1992 nucleotides) under Salmonella enterica subsp. enterica serovar Panama. RNAcentral describes it as "partial 23S ribosomal RNA". Lineage: Bacteria; Pseudomonadati; Pseudomonadota; Gammaproteobacteria; Enterobacterales; Enterobacteriaceae. The record is from RNAcentral.